UGCAAGUCGAACGGAAAGGCCCUGCUUGCAGGGUACUCGAGUGGCGAACGGGUGAGUAACACGUGGGUGAUCUGCCCUGCACGUUCGGGAUAAGCCUGGGAAACUGGGUCUAAUGCCGGAUAGGAGCCUAUUUUAGUGUGAUGGUUGGUAAAGUUUUUCGGUGUAGGAUGAGCUCGCGGCCUAUCAGCUUGUUGGUGGGGUAAUGGCCUACCAAGGCGGCGACGGGUAGCCGGCCUGAGAGGGUGGACGGCCACACUGGGACUGAGAUACGGCCCAGACUCC
Molecule: ribosomal RNA, 282 nt
Filed under: uncultured bacterium
Lineage: Bacteria
Description: partial 16S ribosomal RNA
Rfam family: Bacterial small subunit ribosomal RNA
Source: RNAcentral